This 253-nucleotide ribosomal RNA is filed under the name uncultured bacterium. RNAcentral describes it as "partial 16S ribosomal RNA". It matches the Rfam family "Bacterial small subunit ribosomal RNA", at positions 524 to 776 of the family's 1533-position model. The record is from RNAcentral.
UACGUAGGGCGCAAGCGUUGUCCGGAAUUAUUGGGCGUAAAGAGCUCGUAGGCGGCUUGUCGCGUCGAUUGUGAAAGCCCGGGGCUUAACUCCGGGUCUGCAUUCGAUACGGGCAGACUAGAGUUCGGUAGGGGAGUCUGGAAUUCCUGGUGUAGCGGUGAAAUGCGCAGAUAUCAGGAGGAACACCGGUGGCGAAGGCGGGACUCUGGGCCGAUACUGACGCUGAGGAGCGAAAGCGUGGGGAGCAAACAGG